RNAcentral lists this long non-coding RNA (522 nucleotides) under Mytilus galloprovincialis (Mediterranean mussel). Lineage: Eukaryota; Metazoa; Mollusca; Bivalvia; Mytilida; Mytilidae. The record is from RNAcentral.
UGUAAAUAAAGAAAUGGAUAGCUGUCAUAGAUUGCAUAAAACACUUCUGAUUUCUCAUCAAAUAUGCAUUGAUCUGUCUAAAAUGUGCCUUCAGACUUUUGUUAAAUCAGUUCAAGUAAGAUUGAGAAUUCAUUAUAUCAAUCGAGAACUUCCAGUGGAAUUAAUGCAAACGAUUUUUUUCUAAGUAUGCUAGAAAUUUGAAUAAUGAACUUAUUGUGAUGAUGUAUUCCUAUUGUAUUGUUGAAACGAAAUUUUAAAAUAGAAAUAAGUGAGUGGUUGAUGAUAUUUUUUUACUUUAAAUGUUGAAAAGAGGAUUUUUUAUAAAGAGGGGGGAAAGGUACAAAGGGAGCAGUAAAAAUUCUUCAGUGCAAUAAAAGCAGACAACACUGGCCAAAAAAAGAAAAACGGAUGAAAAGCCAAAUAAAAUUUUACAAAACACUAGGAAGAAAACUAAGGAUUUAUCAACAAAAAUACUUUUUUCAAGUCUUGGGGUCUUUAUAAAUGUAGUUUUUGCAAAUAAAC